This 1016-nucleotide long non-coding RNA is filed under the name Macaca fascicularis (crab-eating macaque). RNAcentral's name for it is "lncRNA (ENSMFAG00000051071.1)". The record is from RNAcentral. Lineage: Eukaryota; Metazoa; Chordata; Mammalia; Primates; Cercopithecidae.
GGGAAUGUCACCGUUCCCACGGUAGCUCCAGUAGGAAGGCUACUGUGAACUUUGCGCUGUCAUAGACCUCCUGUCAGCAUCAGGCUGUUGCCAGCUCCUGCUAAGACAAAUACAGCCAAGUCCAGCAUGUACGCAGCACUGGAUGGACCAUGAAUAAUUUCAUACCCAUAGAUAGUGGCAAUAGUGUGAUCUUUAAGAAUUAACAUAUAUAGAGAGUAAGUGACAAUAACAGCCCCCCUUUUUCCUCCCCAGUAAGUCAUUCAGAGAGCAAGUCUGCUGAGAGCAGAUGCCAAGACAGUUGUCUUUGCUCCUCCAGGGCUGCCACAGAGUCAGAGCCGAGUCCCUAAGCCUAAUUAGAUGUCUCCCCAUACAAGGCUUAAACAAGCACAUGGGGAAGCCAGGUCUCUGAUGAGGAAAGAAAGAUAACACAGGCUGUAUCAGGGUCAUGUGGACAGGCAUUGGUCGCAGGUACAGAUGACUCAUUGUUAGUCUGAGAUGCUGAAAGAAAUGGAAAUGAUUCCCCCACUUCCCAACCUCCAGUCCUACAUUCAGUGUCUGUUGUCAUUGGUUUGGGUCUGUCUGAUGGCUUAUCUCAUCAGAGAGGAAUCUGAGAGUCUCUAAUAAGGAAGGUGGCAAAUGUCAAGUGUUAGGCGUGCAUGUUUGAAGCUAGGGUCAUUGUUUUUUUUAAGUUAUUUAUUUCUCUUGGCUGCAACCAACCCCACUAAAUCUCUAUUCCUCCUCUAAACCCCUAAUCAUCGACUGGGUGCGGUGGCUCACACCUGUAAUCCCAGCACUUUGGGAGGCCGAGGCGAAUGGAUCACCUGAGGUCAGGAGUUCAAGACCAGCCUGGGCAACAUGGUAAACCCCAUCUCUACUAAACACAAAAAUUAGCUAGGUGCAGUGGCGUGUGUCUGUAAUCCCAGCUAUUCGGGAGGCUGUGGAAGGAGAAUUGCUUGAGCCUGUGAGGCAGAGAUUGCAGUGAGUCGAUAUUGUGCCACUGCACUCCAGCCUGGGUG